GACGAACGCUGGCGGCGUGCUUAACACAUGCAAGUCGAACGGAAAGGCCCUGCUUUUGUGGGGUGCUCGAGUGGCGAACGUGUGAGUAACACGUGAGUAACCUGCCCUUGACUUUGGGAUAACUUCAGGAAACUGGGGCUAAUACCGGAUAGGAGCUCCUGCUGCAUGGUGGGGGUUGGAAAGUUUCGGCGGUUGGGGAUGGACUCGCGGCUUAUCAGCUUGUUGGUGGGGUAGUGGCUUACCAAGGCUUUGACGGGUAGCCGGCCUGAGAGGGUGACCGGCGACAUUGGGACUGAGAUACGGCCCAGACUCCUACGGGAGGCAGCAGUGGGGAAUAUUGCACAAUGGGCGGAAGCCUGAUGCAGCAACGCCGCGUGCGGGAUGACGGCCUUCGGGUUGUAAACCGCUUUCGCCUGUGACGAAGCGUGAGUGACGGUAAUGGGUAAAGAAGCACCGGCUAACUACGUG
RNAcentral lists this ribosomal RNA (468 nucleotides) under uncultured bacterium. RNAcentral describes it as "partial 16S ribosomal RNA". It matches the Rfam family "Bacterial small subunit ribosomal RNA", at positions 28 to 507 of the family's 1533-position model. The record is from RNAcentral.